CGCCGUAAACGAUGAUCAUUAGUCGGUGGAGAGUUCACUGACGCAGCUAACGCAUUAAAUGAUCCGCCUGAGUAGUAUGCUCGCAAGAGUGAAACUUAAAGGAAUUGACGGGGACCCGCACAAGCGGUGGAGCAUGUGGUUUAAUUUGAAGAUACGCGGAGAACCUUACCCACUCUUGACAUCCUUCGCAAUGCUAUAGAGAUAUAGCGGAGGGUAACAGAGUGACAGAUGGUGCAUGGUUGUCGUCAGCUCGUGUCGUGAGAUGUUUGGUCAAGUCCUGCAACGAGCGCAACCCCUAUCUUUAGUUACUAACGA
Molecule: ribosomal RNA, 315 nt
Filed under: Mycoplasmopsis arginini
Lineage: Bacteria; Bacillati; Mycoplasmatota; Mycoplasmoidales; Metamycoplasmataceae
Description: bacterial SSU rRNA
Rfam family: Bacterial small subunit ribosomal RNA
Source: RNAcentral